This 496-nucleotide ribosomal RNA is filed under the name uncultured bacterium. RNAcentral describes it as "partial 16S ribosomal RNA". It matches the Rfam family "Bacterial small subunit ribosomal RNA", at positions 30 to 523 of the family's 1533-position model. The record is from RNAcentral.
AUUGAACGCUGGCGGAAUGCUUUACACAUGCAAGUCGAACGGUAGAGGGGGCAACCCCUCGAGAGUGGCGAACGGGCGAGUAAUAUAUCGGAACGUGCCCAGUCGUGGGGGAUAACGUAGCGAAAGUUACGCUAAUACCGCAUACGAUCUACGGAUGAAAGCGGGGGAUCGCAAGACCUCGCGCGAUUGGAGCGGCCGAUAUCAGAUUAGGUAGUUGGUGGGGGAAAGGCUCACCAAGCCAACGAUCUGUAGCUGGUCUGAGAGGACGACCAGCCACACGGGAACUGAGACACGGUCCAGACUCCUACGGGAGGCAGCAGUGGGGAAUUUUGGACAAUGGACGCAAGUCUGAUCCAGCCAUUCCGCGUGCAGGAUGAAGGCCCUCGGGUUGUAAACUGCUUUUGUACGGAACGAAAAGGUUUCCAUUAAUACUGGGAGCUCAUGACGGUACCGUAAGAAUAAGCACCGGCUAACUACGUGCCAGCCGCCGCCGUAA